UGCCAACACAAUCACUCUUCGCUCAAGCGUCUUGAUUCUCCAGGUUACUGCACUGUGGGUGAACCGUCCCCGGCCCGUCACUCAUUCUCCCUCCCUCACAACUUUGUCUCCAAUGAAACGGAUGAGGACAUCAUCUCUCCCUACGCCAGCUUCACCUCGCUGUCCGAGCGGGUGGCACCCAUCCUCAGCGGCUGGCUGGACAAGCUCUCUCCUCAAGGAAACUAUGUGUUCCAGAAGCGAUAUGUGAAGUUUGAUGGGAAGAACUUGAUGUACUAUGGUAGUGAAAAGGAUGCUUAUCCCAAAGGUGUGAUUCCCUUAGCUGCCAUACAAAUGGCCCGCGUAGCCAAAGACAAUAAAUUUGAGGUUGUCACAAGUCACAGGACAUUUGUCUUCAGAGCUGAUAAUGAUGUUCAGAGGAGCACAUGGUGCGGCACGUUGCAGGAGCGGGUCAAAGAACAGCUGGUUUUCGGCCGCUUACGUUUUGGCCCUGGCAGUCACUGCCAAAAGAACGGCUUCCUGGAGCUCAAAGGAACCAAGUCAAAGAUCUACACAGCCAUUAUAAUGGAGCAGAUCUGGUUGUACAAGAAUGAGCAGUGCUUUAAAAAUGGAAUUGGAAUUACUGUAAUUGAGGCCAGAGGAGCUACAAUUCGUGAUGGGAAGGGCAAGAGCUUUGAUCUCAUUACACCUUAUAAAACCUUCAGCUUUACGGCAGAGUCGGAGCGAGAGAAGAGGGACUGGAUAGAGGCCCUGCAGGAGUCUAUAGCGGAAACACUGUCUGAUUAUGAGGUGGCAGAGAAGAUCUGGUCCAACAGGUCCAACAAGAUCUGCGCAGACUGCAAAGCCAUCAAUCCAGACUGGGCAUCCAUCAAUCUCUGUGUGGUCAUCUGCAAGAACUGUGCAGGCCAGCAUCGAGGUCUCGGCACAAUGGUGUCGAAAGUGCAGAGUCUGAAACUAGACACCAGCGUGUGGAGCAAUGAGAUCGUCCAGCUCUUCAUAAUGCUUGGCAAUGAUAGAGCCAAUGAAUUUUGGGCGGCCAGACUUCCUGUGACUGAGGAGCUGGACUGUGACGCCUCCCCAGAGCAGCGGAAAGAGUUUAUCACCCACAAAUACAGAGAAGGCAGAUAUCGGCACCCUCAACCCAGUUUUAGCACUCAAGAGGACCUUCUUAAGGUAAUGGAUAAGCCAUUUACAUCCACAGGGGACAGAUCAUGCAAACCAAUGAUAACUUUAUCUUACUGUCAUUUUCUGGAUUCAGAUUCCUGUGUCUAUGAUGAGAUCAUGCAGUCCAUCCUGUACUCCGGCUACAUCUACAAGUCAAGCUCCUUGAACAAAGGGACAUUAUCUCGCAGAACCAGAGACGGUAGGCGACUAUGUUCUAUUCUCUUCUAUGAGUCUGACAGAUGUCAUGAGCCCAGUAUGAAGAUCGAUGUGAAAGACAUCAUCUGUUUAGGGGUUAGCCGAUUUCGAUACACAUUUGAACUUUACCUAACAUCUGAUAAACUGAUCCAGUUUGGCUUUGAGACUCCAGAUGCGUUACACAGUUGGGCGAGAGCGAUAGGGAAGGCCACCACACCUCUCAGCUGUCACUGCCUGCUGGCGCGAGAGUUCGAGCGAGUGGGCGUCCUGCGCUACAAGGCCAUGCUAGACCCACAGCAGUGGAAAGAAGGCUUCUUUGUUCUGCAGAAGUCCAACCUGUUCAUAUGCCCUGGAAAUGAUGGAGCCGCAGAGGAUAUUAUAAACCUGAAACGCCUACAGGAGCUCAGUGAGUCUGUUAGCUCAAUCACUAAGAAGGACAUCCUGGUUCUUGUUGAGAAAGGAAGGACUCUGCAUCUGCAGGGCACGGGCAGGACUGACUUCUCCCUGUGGUACGCAGACAUUCAGAAGGCAGCAGGAGGGAAAGGGAACACCCUGAAAGACCAGCAGCUCAGCAGAAAUGACAUCCCCAUCAUCGUUGACAGCUGCAUUGCCUUUAUAACUCAGUAUGAGAUACCUCAAAAGCCACAGCGUUUGGACCGAUACAAAGAGCUGAUUCGAGGGUUACCUCGGGUCAACAGAACGACUUUAGCAGCUCUCAUCAGUCAUCUCUACAGGGUGCAGAAGUGUGCUGAUCUCAAUCAGAUGUGCACUAAGAACCUGUCCCUGCUGUUCGCUCCCAGCCUGUUUCAGACUGAUGGGAAAGGGGAACAUGAGGUCAAAAUCAUAGAAGACCUCAUCGAUAACUACCUGUACAUAUUUGAUGAUUUGAUGUCAACAUUUAUUAUGCAAACCUCUGGUGUGGCUCUCCCACAGGUGUCUCCCACAAUGUGUGCUGAGGAGCUGACCAAUCAGGUGCUGUAUAUGAGAAAUAUUCCUGCGGGGGAAAAAGACGUGUGGAUGACCUUUGAGGCCAUUGAGGAAGGAGAGCUUGAGCGACCUCUUCACCCCAAAGAGAUGGUUCUGGAACAAGCUCUACAGUGGUGUAAGAUGGCUGAUCCCAGCUCAGCGUAUCUGGUGGUGAAGAAGGUGCCUAGAGGAGAAGCUAUUGACAUUUUCACAGGUGAAUUGCUGAAGUGUCGGGAAGAGCCGCCCAAGCUCUUGCAAGGAAACAAAUUCCAGGAGCACUCAUUUCAAAUUAAAGACCACAGACUGCUCCUGAUGAAGGACAAAAAAAGCAACAAACCUGAGAAAGAGUGGCAACUGAAAACCUUGAAGAUUUACAUGGGGAUCAGAAAGAAGUUAAAACCACCAACAAAAUGGGGAUUAACAGUGAUGCUGGAUAAACAGCAAUUGUACCUCAGCUGUUCCUGUGAGACUGAAUUAUGGGAUUGGAUGACUAAUUUACUAAAAGCACAGAAUGAUGAUUUGCGUCCACCUGUGAUGAGACGGCACUCUUCCUCUGACAUUUCCAAGCAGAAGUUUGGCACCAUGCCUCUAGUGCCCAUCAGAGGAGAGGAGAGCAAUACCAACACCACCAUGCUCUCCGCCAAUCAGACUCUGAGAAAGCUCCACACGAGAAGGGCUCUCUCAAUGUUCUUUGUAAGUAAUUCUUAUUAUCUGCAGAUUAAUCCAAUGCAUUAUAUAUAA
Long non-coding RNA from Cyprinus carpio (common carp), 3063 nucleotides. The record is from Ensembl. NCBI's taxonomy places the organism in Eukaryota, Metazoa, Chordata, Actinopteri, Cypriniformes, Cyprinidae.